UCUUAGUUAGCAAUAAUAGCUAAACUAGGGCUACAUGCUUAUUAAUAGCGCUUUCUAAAGAAAGCCAUAAAAUUCAAUCAUGACAUUAAGUACUCUAGUUAGGAAAUAUGAAAUGAUGGUGUUUAUUUUUAAUUAAUGAGCUACAUAUC
Molecule: non-coding RNA, 149 nt
Filed under: unclassified sequences
Description: RT-16 RNA
Rfam family: RT-16 RNA
About the family: candidate division DUSEL4 (Archaea).
Source: Rfam by way of RNAcentral